CCUACGGGUGGCAGCAGUGGGGAAUAUUGCGCAAUGGGCGAAAGCCUGACGCAGCGACGCCGCGUGAGGGAUGAAGGUCUUCGGAGCGGAAACCUCUGUCAGCAGGGAAGAACGGUCACGGUGCUAAUCAGCAGUGAAUUGACGGUACCAGCAAAGGAAGCACCGGCUAACUCCGUGCCAGCAGCCGCGGUAAGACGGAGGGUGCGAGCGUUAAUCGGAAUUACUGGGCGUAAAGCGCUCGUAGGCGGUAUGUCAAGUCAAGGGUGAAAUCCCCGCGCUCAACGUGGGAACUGCCUUUGAAACUGGCAACCUGGAGUGUGUGAGAGGAUAGUGGAAUUCCUGUUGUAGGCGUUCAAUCCUUCGAUAUCUGGCGGAACAUCAGUGGCGAAGGCGACUAUCUGGCACAUAACUGACGCUGAGGCGCGAAAGCGUGGGUAGCAAACAGGAUUAGAUACCCCAGUAGUC
This 465-nucleotide ribosomal RNA is filed under the name uncultured bacterium. RNAcentral's name for it is "partial 16S ribosomal RNA". It matches the Rfam family "Bacterial small subunit ribosomal RNA", at positions 338 to 795 of the family's 1533-position model. The record is from RNAcentral.